This 298-nucleotide long non-coding RNA is filed under the name dengue virus type 1. RNAcentral's name for it is "Dengue virus 1 partial sfRNA1". The stretch from base 233 to 298 matches the Rfam family "Flavivirus DB element". The record is from RNAcentral. Lineage: Riboviria; Orthornavirae; Kitrinoviricota; Flasuviricetes; Amarillovirales; Flaviviridae.
AAGAAGUCAGGCCAGAUUAAGCCAUAGUACGGAAAGAGCUAUGCUGCCUGUGAGCCCCGUCCAAGGACGUAAAAUGAAGUCAGGCCGAAAGCCACGGAUUGAGCAAGCCGUGCUGCCUGUGGCUCCAUCGUGGGGAUGUAAAAACCCGGGAGGCUGCAACCCAUGGAAGCUGUACGCAUGGGGUAGCAGACUAGUGGUUAGAGGAGACCCCUCCCCAGACACAACGCAGCAGCGGGGCCCAACACCAGGGGAAGCUGUACCUUGGUGGUAAGGACUAGAGGUUAGAGGAGACCCCCCG